AUUGAACGCUGGCGGAAUGCUUUCCACAUGCAAGUCGAACGGCAGCACGGACUUCGGUCUGGUGGCGAGUGGCGAACGGGUGAGUAAUGUAUCGGAACGUGCCCAGUCGUGGGGGAUCACGUAGUGAAAAUUACGCUAAUACCGCAUACGUUCUAUGGAAGACAGCGGGGGAUCGCAAGACCUCGCGCGAUUGGAGCGGCCGCUAUCAGAUUAGGUAGUUGGUGGGGUAAAGGCCCACCAAGCCAACGAUCUGUAGCUGGUCUGAGAGGACGACCAGCCACACUGGAACUGGGACACGGUCCAGACUCCGACGGGAGGCAGCAGUGGGGAAUUUUGGACAAUGGGCGAAAGCCUGAUCCAGCCAUUCCGCGUGAAGGAUGAAGGCCCUCGGGUUGUAAACUGCUUUUGUACAGAACGAAAAGGUUUCUACUAAUACUAGGAGCUCAUGACGGUACUGUAAGAAUGAGCACCGGCUAACUACGUGCCAGCCGCCGCCGUAA
This 500-nucleotide ribosomal RNA is filed under the name uncultured bacterium. Its description in RNAcentral is "partial 16S ribosomal RNA". It matches the Rfam family "Bacterial small subunit ribosomal RNA", at positions 30 to 523 of the family's 1533-position model. The record is from RNAcentral.